UACGGAGGGUGCUAGCGUUGUUCGGAAUUACUGGGCGUAAAGGGCUCGUAGGCGGCCAACUAAGUCAGACGUGAAAUCCCUCGGCUUAACCGGGGAACUGCGUCUGAUACUGGAUGGCUUGAGUUCGGGAGAGGGAUGCGGAAUUCCAGGUGUAGCGGUGAAAUGCGUAGAUAUCUGGAGGAACACCGGUGGCGAAGGCGGCAUCCUGGACCGACACUGACGCUGAGGAGCGAAAGCCAGGGGAGCAAACGGG
This 253-nucleotide ribosomal RNA is filed under the name uncultured bacterium. RNAcentral describes it as "partial 16S ribosomal RNA". It matches the Rfam family "Bacterial small subunit ribosomal RNA", at positions 524 to 776 of the family's 1533-position model. The record is from RNAcentral.